UUAACCGUGACAGCCGUUUUAAUUUUCUGAUGUGCAUGACACCUCGUGUGUACCAUAUGAAAUUUUUAUGCAGACCAUAUAUACAGUCAUGCCUCGCCAUAGUAAGCCAAGGCAGAGGCAACUGGUUUAAAAUUAUGAAGCAGGAUUCUUGACCACACAGUCCAGCGUAUUUGCGAACGUCUUGAAAAGACGAACACAGAAGGCUGUUAUUGCUUCCAUGGUUAUGUCACUCUGCGUAGUUCUUGGCUAGUGCCUUGGCUAUCUUGCGCCUUUGCGAUGACGGUGGAGUAACUCAACCGAGAAGACCCUCAUCACCACCCCCGUCCUGUGUAGAACGAUACUGCGCCUUUCGUGGUAUCACCAUCCCCAUUUUGCGUACUUCGUGGCCCGAGAUUUGGGAUUGCGAAUCACCCGGCCUAGUGCCUAGCCUCUGCUCCAGACAGAGUUCGAAAUUAUUCGAAUUGUUCCAAAUAAAUAUUUCACUAAUAUAAUUGUCUGAAUAAAUUCUUGUCUGUCGAAUA
Molecule: non-coding RNA, 521 nt
Organism: Megalopta genalis
Lineage: Eukaryota; Metazoa; Arthropoda; Insecta; Hymenoptera; Halictidae
Source: RefSeq, a predicted model, not a curated record